UGGGGAAUUUUGGACAAUGGGCGAAAGCCUGAUCCAGCAAUGCCGCGUGUGUGAAGAAGGCCUUCGGGUUGUAAAGCACUUUUGUCCGGAAAGAAAUCCUUGGCUCUAAUACAGUCGGGGGAUGACGGUACCGGAAGAAUAAGCACCGGCUAACUACGUGCCAGCAGCCGCGGUAAUACGUAGGGUGCAAGCGUUAAUCGGAAUUACUGGGCGUAAAGCGUGCGCAGGCGGUUUGCUAAGACCGAUGUGAAAUCCCCGGGCUCAACCUGGGAACUGCAUUGGUGACUGGCAGGCUAGAGUAUGGCAGAGGGGGGUAGAAUUCCACGUGUAGCAGUGAAAUGCGUAGAGAUGUGGAGGAAUACCGAUGGCGAAGGCAGCCCCCUGGCCAAUACUGACGCUCAUGCACGAAAGCGUGGGGGAGCAAACAGGAUUAGAUACCCUGGUAGUCCACGCCCUAAACGAUGUCAACUAGUUGUUGGGGAUUCAUUUCCUUAGUAACGUAGCUAACGCGUGAAGUUGACCGCCUGGGGAGUACGGUCGCAAGAUUAAACUCAAGGAAUUGACGGGGUCAUAGCUGUUUCCU
RNAcentral lists this ribosomal RNA (583 nucleotides) under uncultured bacterium. Its description in RNAcentral is "partial 16S ribosomal RNA". It matches the Rfam family "Bacterial small subunit ribosomal RNA", at positions 355 to 1375 of the family's 1533-position model. The record is from RNAcentral.